AUGAGUUCGGAUUGGCCUUUCUACUGCAAUAUUUUUAAAAGAUAUAAUGUUAGCCAUGGAGAACUGCAAAUAUGUUGCUACUGCUCUCAAUAACAUUGCUGCCCUGAAUUUAUCAGGCGCUAUUGACAAAGGUGGGAAAAAUUUGUGAUGGACUACUUUCUGAACGAGGAAUGCUGGCUCUCUCACUCUGAAAUUAACAUGUUUUAUAAUCAGUGGAACACAACGGGCCAAACAAGCUGUGCAAACUAAACGGAAACAACACAGGAACUCUUAUAAAAGGGAUUGCAGUCUGCCAUGAAGCUUUCAUCCAUGUAUACAGCUUCAAUCAGUAGAACACACCUGACUGUAAGCCACCAGCCAUACAGUCAUCAAAAAGAGAGCUAGCAAGCAAAGGCAGCAGCGCAGUCAUCAACUACAUGCACCGUUUCUUCACCAACGUCCUAGUUGGAAAAACAGCUGUGGACCUGAAUUGUGAUAACUGCAGUGGCCAAAACAAGAACAAGUUUGUGCUCUGGUAUUGUGCCUGGUGGACCACCAGAAUCUGGACCUUCACUUCCUGAUCACAGGCCACACCAAGUUUGCCCCUGACUGGUGCUUCGGCCUCAUCAAUCAGUGCUUCAAAAAGACCAGAGUGAACACUGGGAUUGCUGGUGUUGUGAAGGACAGCACUGUGACAGGGGUCAACAUCCCAGAGCUGGUUGGACUGGAGGAUGGUACAGUGCCGGUGGAAAGCUAUGGUUGGCAACAACACCUUACUCUGUACUCCAGGCCUCUGCCACAGAUCAAGCAGUAUCAGCAAUUCAGCUUCGUUGCUCUGGAGCCUGGUGUUGUCGCCAAGGAGUGUUCGGACUGUUGGGACCAGGUUUCAGCUGCUGCGCAACGCUGACAUCCUUCCUCCCAUAGAUGGUCUGCCUGUAAAAGCACCACCUGGACUGGACACAACUAGACAAACUAUAUUUUUGACAAGAUCAGGAAGUUUUGCAAUGAAGAGACUAUAGACAUCACAUGCCCUGUACCAAAGUCAAGGACAGGACAGAAGCAGGCUCCCUCCGAAUAUAGAUUCCCUUUGUUCAUGCGUGGUUUGGAUGGACCAUACAUGAGCUCUAUCUGUAGUGCCUCUAUUCACAUGACUCUCUCCUAAAACACACGCCAUAUGUUGCUGAUACUUUUGUUUACCCCGCUGCUCAGCCAGUUUACCUCUGAUUGUAUGCAUUUUAUUACCUCGUCUAUUACUGAUAUCAUUAUUGAUAUUGUUUUUUUUUACAUACUGUAUAUUUUAUCUAUAUUGACACUAUCUAUUUCUGAUAUUGCUACUAUGCAAGUAACUAUUUGGCUGUAUCAUUUACACCUUUUGUAGAGACCAUCCACUUAGCAAGACUAAGAGCAAAAUAUUGAUAUAUAAAAUCAAUAUUGAUGUGUGGUCGUAACAUGAUUUUAUGACAUACCACAAUAAUAUCUUGUGACUGUAUCCAGUGUCCACCACAUAAAUAUAUGGAGCAUGCAUCAGUUUAUGUACUGUAAAAAAAACUCACUCAGGUUGCAUGGCCUUAAUUUAUGUAUGGAAUACUAUGUGAUACGUGCGUGUGUAACAGUAUAUAAUGUAUGCUACUGUAGUGGUGUGAAGGUUUUUGGGCAGUGGUGUAAAGUACUUCAGUAAAAAUACUUUAAAGUAUUACUUAAGUUGUUUUUUGUGGUAUCUGUACAUUACUUUCCUAUUUAUACUUUCCUACCCUAUUGAACUUUUACUUUGCUACAUUCGUAAGGAAAAUAAUGUACUUUUUACUCCAUACACUUUCAUUGACACCCAAAAGUACUUAUUACAUUUUGACAGGAAAAUUGUCCAAUUCACACACUUAUCAAGAGAACAUCCCUGGUCAUCCCUGCGGCGUCUGAUCUGGCAGACUCACUAAACACACAUCCUUCGUUUGUAAUUAUGUCUGAGUGUUGGAGCCCCUGGCUCUCCGUCAAGAAUAAUUAUGAAAUUGUGCACUCUGAUUUGCUAAAUAUAAGGAAUUUGAAAUGGUUUAUAUUUCAACUUUUACUGUUGAUACUUAAGUACAUUGUGCCCCUGGCUAUCCGUCAACUAAUAAAUAAAU
Oncorhynchus masou masou (cherry salmon) is the source of this 2096-nucleotide long non-coding RNA. RefSeq lists it as uncharacterized. NCBI's taxonomy places the organism in Eukaryota, Metazoa, Chordata, Actinopteri, Salmoniformes, Salmonidae. The transcript has 3 exons. The record is from RefSeq and is a predicted model, not a curated record.